RNAcentral lists this long non-coding RNA (36001 nucleotides) under Ananas comosus (pineapple). RNAcentral's name for it is "long non-coding RNA (ACOM_LNC004696)". The record is from RNAcentral. Lineage: Eukaryota; Viridiplantae; Streptophyta; Magnoliopsida; Poales; Bromeliaceae.
AAAACUAAAAAAAGAUUAUAAGCAGAUUUUUUUAACUAUAAAAAAAAAGGCUAUUAUGGUUUAAAAUAAUUAAAAAUUAAAUAAAAGGUUAGAAAAGUUAUAAAUAUUUCAAAAAUUAUUUAGAAGGAAUAUAAAAAAAUUAAAUUGAAAAUUUAUCUGAUUAAAAUUAAAAAAAAAUUUAAAAAUAUUUGGAUAGUUUUAAAAUAAAAACUAUAUAUAUAUAGAGUAGGGCUACUAUACUCUUAUGAGCAUUGGGCCCUUCAUACUCAUAAGUUGUUUUCGAUGAUGGGGCUCUCGAAUCGACAAUCCAUUACGUUAAAUAUGAUCUAGAGUAUUUGAAACUUCUAAAAAAUAAAUUUCGUAAUUUUUGGAAAUCAUAAUAAAGUCCAUCAAACGGGCAUAAAAUGAACGGUCAAAAUCGAACGACGUCCUAAAAAUAGAUGAUCGGAUGCUUCAAUUUAAGAUCGGAGUUAUUGAUCAUUAUCUAGAUAGUGAAUAGAAUUUUCUAUCAAAAAUUCAACCUAUUCCAAUUCUUUUAUAUGGUUAAACUAGCAAGUAUUCUAUACCGGCCGUUAAAAAUUGUCAAUUUUGUGAGCUUUUGAUCGUAAGGUAAAUGAUAUCGAAAAAUUAUGAAAUUUGAUUUCUAGAAGUUUUAAAUGCUCUAGAUAAUGUUUAACUGUAUGGAUCGUCGAUUCGGAAGCUCUAUCAUCGAAAACAACUUAUGAGUACGAGAGCGAUCUUACUCAUAAGAGUAUAGUAGCCGGACUCUCUCUCUCUCUCUCUCUCUCUAUAUAUAUAUAUAUAUAUAUAUAUGGUUAAAUGCAUUCAUGCACUUGCAAAUAUAGUGAAUUGCAAAUAUAUCUCUAUAAAGUUCAACUUUCAUAUGUUGUGUCUAUAAAAAUUUCUAAUAUUUUCAAAUAUAUCCAUCUGAUUUGUUACCGUUAUUUAUGUUUUAAGUGAAAUAUCAAUUUUACCAUCACAAAUAUAUUCCUCCAAAAAUUACAAUAGUAUAAUAUAAGAGAGUCAAAAAUGUCAAGUUAUUUCAUAAAUUAACUAGAGUUAAGCAUUUAAUCUAUGAUUAAUUAGAGUUUUCUAACGAAUUCUAAUGGUAGGGAUAUAUUUGAAAAUAUUAGGAUUUUUGUAGGGACAAUAUAUAAAAAUUAAAUUUUGUAAUGAUAUAUUUGUAAUUUACUAGCUUGCAGGGACAUGUUUAUAUUUAUUAGCAUUGAGUUCUAUAUGUUAAUUAAUAUUUAUUUAGUUGCUAAUACAUUUUUAAAAAUUUAGCAAAUAUAAAUAAAUAUGUAUAGGUCGGAGUUAAUAAUCUUUUACCUAGAUAAUAAAUAUAAUUUUCUACUACAAAUUUAAUUAAUUAUGAUUCUUUUACACCGUUAAACUAGCAAUAAGGCUGGUUAAACUAACAAGUAUUCAAUAUCAAAAAAUUAUAACUAAUCGUCCCUAAUGCAAGUGCCAAAAGGCUUGAUAAUUAGUACCCGAGGUCCUUAGUUCUAAACGAAAUGGGUAACAUGUUACCCAUCUCUCAAAAAAAAAUCAAAAAAUUAUAAAAUUUAAAUUUUUCAAAUUUUAAAUAUUCUAAAUCAUGUUUAACAAUAUCUACCGUUAUUCAAAAGUUCUAUCGGGAAAAAUAAUUUAUGAAUACAAUGAGGAUCCUAUUCAUCAAAGUAUAUAUGCACAAACCUCUGAUUGGUUAGCUAUCCUCAAAUAGAUUUCCUUUGGACCUAGUUUACACACACCCUCAUUGGUUAGCUAUCCUCAAAUAGAUUCCUUUUUUCCUCUUAAAAGGAGGAAUUCUACACUGUCGUACUUGCACCACAUCGUCAAUAACAAAUCAAUCACAUUUCUUUUUUUCAAACAAAAGUACAAUAAAAAUAUUUUUUUACAAUCAUGAUGAGACAUAUACCCCUAAAAGAAGACAUUUGAUUGGUUUGUUACGCUACGUCACUAAUAUACCCAUUGCAUUCUAAAAUUUUUCCUUAAAAGGACCUAUAUAUAUAUAUAUAUAUAUAUAUAUAUAUAUAUAUAUAUAUAUAUAUGAUUGAUUUAUUAUUGAUGUUCUGGUAGAACUGUAACAUAAUAGACUCAUCAAGAUACAACUAGCUCCACAUUAUCACCUCUCAAGAUCAAGUACAUGCAUAUUACACUAUGCUCAGUCUGAGAAAAGAGGGAAAUGGGCCAGAUUCAUAAAAUAAGCAAAGCCAAAUCAACAAACUAGAGGCCAAAAUGCGGAGGAAAACAAAAAGGCCACCUAGGUACUUUUACUAAACAAGAAGUUUAGUUCAACGUAACACUGGGAAAAAAUAUAUAUAUAUUCGGUGAAAAAAAAUUUUCGUGGAACAAAAAUUUUACAUUGGUUCGUAGAAAAGAAAAAAUAGUUUUCCAACAAUGUUUGUUUGGUUGAAAGGAAAACAUGUAGAAAAAACCAUUUAUAUAAUAUAUGUUUCCUAUAUAGCGUAGAAAUAGUAUUAUACAUUUUAUUUUAUACACAUACUAUACACAUUACUAUUACACUGUUGGUGGGAGAUCCACAAGAAAAAAAAAAUUAUUUGUGCACCUCUCGCACACCCAUGAACUCACACAACCAGCUUCAAAAGACCACCAAUUUAUUUCGUACUCCCAAUUUAACUACCCAAAUUUUAAAUUUUAAACAACUGCUGUAUACAAAAUGGAAUAGACAUAUAUUUAUAAAAAAAUGUUAGAUGAAAAUAGUGUACAUAUAUGAAUACACCAAGUAUACAAUAAUCUCUAGUAUUUGUAGGUGCACUUGGUUCAGACAUUUGGUUUCUUAGUGGGUGGACCGCAUGAUCUUUUAAUUGCCGUGCACAUAUACACACCGGUGUUUUUAUUUAUUUAUUUAUUUAUUUUUUGCAGCAAGAGCUUUUCGUUUUCCACAAUACCGCCAAAACGUUUUCCACAAUUCCACGAAGUUUUGGCGGAAAACAAAAAGGCCCAGUUAUAAUAAUAUGUAAAAAAGUUUUACAAGGAAAACAAUUUUACAGCUCAACAAACGAACGAAAACAAAUUUUCAGACUGAAAGGAGUUUUCUGACCAUUUUUACGAGUAAUCAAACACACCCUAAACGAAAAUACAGGGGGUAUAAACUGAGAAUCACCUCAUAUUUGCCACACUAGAUUCAAACACCUCAGCAAUCACCAUGUUCAAGUGCUUGACCAAAGGCAACAAUAACCACAGCAGUUGCCUGCACAGCAACAAGCCAUCCAACUGUGGAUUAAAAUGUGUCGAUUUAGUACCCCGUGAUUUUAUUUCUCUUUUUAUUAUCCCCCUCUGCUAGAUUUUUCGUUAAAUCAAUAACAAAAUUAAAACUAAAAAGUACUUAAAUAAAUAUUCAAUAAACCUAGAUAGGAUAUCUAAAGCUUUUUAUAUAUAAUUUAACAAAAUAUUAACAGAGGAGCUGGCGAAAAAAAAUAAAAAUAAAAAUAAAACCACAAGAAACUAAAUUGAUACAUUUUAAAACACAAAAUACUAAGUGUAGAAGUGCGAAACUGCAGGAAUGAUAUUUGAAGUUUACCCUAUAUAAAAUCCAGCAUACUUUGCAUUACUGCUCGCAAUAUAAGCAACUCAACCAGCAGGUAGCUCACAGCUGACGAGCAUAGCAGCCGGCAUCACAAAAUUUUCAUGAGAAAGGGGGGAAAAAAUCUACUUUGUAACAAUCACACCAUAGAGGAUCGAUAACAAUCAAAUCAAAACUUCAAAAUCAAUCAAUUCACACCAAGAAAGAUAAAUAGAAGAAACAGAACAAUUGCAAUAUGUCUUCCAGUUGAUAGAAACACAAAUGGGGGACGAAAAAAGAUCGAUGGAGGCUCAGAUUUAACGCCGAAAGUAAAAUAAAUCAUAUACGCCAGUCUACCAAUGGUGAAGUCGCUGCAGGGGUUGCCUGCACGGUGGAAGGCCAUCCAACUGCCCAGCGAACAUCGCCAAAGAAACAAGCAUAUCAUUGGGUUGUAAACAAAUGUGGUGCACCGGAUGCAAGAAAUAUAUAUAUAUACACACAUAUUCAAAGAAAAAGAAAAAAAAAAAAAAGAUGAAGAGAGAUAAUGCAUUGCAUGUAGCAAUUCCAAAAACUACAGAUGUUUAGUAGCAUUUAUCGACUCUGUGAUGUGGCGUUUAUCAUCAUUGCCUCCAGAAAGGAAAAGAACAAAAAAAAUUGACGAAACCAUGCCAUUUGGAAGACCCCCUGCUAAAAAGAGUUAGGCAUUAAAGAAAGAGAAACAUAUUCCUACAAAAUCAUACCACUGCAAAAUCUGUAAAUUCACAUAUACUUACUUUGCCCCAGGUGACGAAAAAAGUGCAAUUAGAUAUAUGAAACAGUAACUUCUAAUUCACCAAAUUGAAAAUAUGCCAUACCAGGGAGGAAAAUUGAAGUUUAUUCAAAUAAAAAAAUCAAUAAAUCAAAAGAAAACAAAUACAAACCAAUAAACAAAUAGAAUUGAGGAAAAAACAUAAAGAUAAAGCCACGCUUCAAAUUAGUACCUUGAUUUCCUUGGAAAAGGGAGAGCAAAGAAGAACAGAGGAAGGGUUUAGGGUUUAGUGUUUACUUUUUAGCUCUCGGAUGCCUAGUGUUUAGCAGUGGUAGGUGGAAUCAUAUUGACCCAAGGGCUGAAAAGUUAAUAGCAAACAGCCUUCACUUACUAUCAACACUAUUUCAGAUAAACAACACACACACACACACACACACACACAGAGUCCGGCUACAAUACUAUCAAUAGCACCAAGCACUUGGUGCUAUCAGGUUUUCCGCUAUUAGAUCUACCUCUUUAACCAUUUCCACCCUUUAGAUCAUACUAUUCCACCAACCACUCAAUAAACCCAAGGAUCACAAUCAUGCUAACCGCACAUUCGCACAUCCCUUUAUCCAAGGGGCCGAAAACCUAAUAGCACCAAUGACUUGGUGCUAUUAAUAGUAUUCUAGCCUAGUUCUAUAUAUAUAUAUAUAUAUACAUAGAGAGAGAGAGAGAGAGAGUUACAAUAUUAUUGAUAAUAGCAAGUUGUUGCUACUAUCAAUUUUGUGGCCCUUGUAUCUAUGCAUAAUGUUGAGAGAGAGAGAGAGAGAGAGAGAGAGAGAGAGAGCGAGACAACAGUCUAACACCACGCCCAAGGGUAGAGAAAACAAGUCAUGGGCUGGCAAACAGCAAUUGAAGGACUUCUGGAGCAUGUCACAAAGAUGUCGUGCGUCAUUGCCAUCAUCUUGCACAAAAUACCAGUCCAGGUAAUAUGAGAGAGAGAGAGAGAGAGAGAGAGAGAGAGUGAUCAUCCGACAAGAGUAACAGAUAUGGCAGUCUCCUCCAUCUCAGGCCAACAACAAGGCAUCAUUUGUCUCAAGAAUAAGGCGAGUAAGGUAAAAAUGCAUGGAGACCCUCCAAACUGACGCUGCGAUUUCCCUGCACCACAGCCCCACGUGUGGAUAAAUCCUGGGAAGAGCUUCUCUUGCUGAGAAAAAUCCCGUAGGCUCUUACGCUGUAUCAUUAUUAUUAUUAUUAUUAUUGAAAGAAACUUUUGCUCAGUUUCGGUUGUAAAGAAUCAGUGAAAUUAAGGGGGAAAAAUAGAGACCUAAUUUUGAAGUUCAACAAUAUAAAAUGAUCAUCAAAGAAUUCACAAGAAACAAAUACAAAUUAAUAAACUGGUAAUAUCAAGAACAAAAGUUAAAGAAUAAGAAAAGCUUCAAAUAAUAACUUCAUUGUCUCAGCAAAAGGAGAGGAAAGAAGAACUGAAGUACAAGUCAAAAACCAAUUUGUGUUACAAAGCCAAUAUCAACAUACUAAGAAAAUAAAUGCAAUGAACCAAACCAAAACCCCAAAAUAAAAUAGAAAAAAGAAAAGCAAACAAGCAAGAUGUUUUUAUAUGGUGAAAGCAUACAGACCUUCAAUAAACUAUUGAUCAUUUUGAGUUGACUGUCCAAUCUUUUAAAUUUUGAUUUUGCUACCCAACAUUUCAAUUUGUUUAAUUCGAGUCAAUCAACAGCACUUCAACUUUAAAAUUUGAAUGCGUCUUUUAUUUUUGCAGGUUUAGCUAGCAUACUUCAUGCAAUUCUCGCGACUAUACAUUCAUUAAAGUAAUUAGCUUAAAUUUUGAAGUCAAAAUAUAGUUGACUGACUCAAAUCAAACAUAUUGAAAGGCUAAAUAGCAAAAUCAAAAUUUUGAAAGAUUUUGAAAGAUUGGGUAGCCAAUUCAAAAUGGCGCAUAAUUUAGGCAAGUUCUAUACAUUUUAACCUUUUCAUAUAAGAGGGAUGAAAAGAUCAACCGAGGCUCAGACUUGGUGCAAAGAAACCCACAUAUAUUCCACCCUUAUAAAUACAAUGUAGCUGCAGCAAUGGCCUGCAAAACAGAAGGCCAUCCAGCUGCCCUGCCAACAUCAAUAAAGAAAGAAUUGACAAGUAAAUGGAUGACAUGGUACAUUAAGAGCAGGAAACAAUUUUCUGACAGAAGAAAAAGAUAAAGAGAGAGAGAGAGAGAGAGAGAGAGAGAGAGAGAGAGAGUCAUCACCAUUGAAGAGCAGAUGCAUAUUGAUAGCAUUCUAAUCCAGCCAGCAAACAUCUAGAGACAUGUUUAAUUGGAGUUAGCCCACUUAGGCCAGAAGAUGUGAUUUUCACGAGGCAAAAGGGACAAAAUAGUUAAAGAAUUAUACGUUAAAACAUACAGAGACCCCCUCAACUAUAGGAGAAAUUAUUGCAUGGAACGCAGUCAAUAGACCAGUAUUUCCGAAAGUCAAUACCCACAACAUUUGCAGCCGCGAGGAUGUGAUCACCUUCAUUGCCUCACGGAAAGCAAUAUACACAUACAUACAAAACAUAUACACAAAUGGCAGAAUUGCCUCUGCAAACUUGAAAAAUUACAGAGUUUUAUCUUUGACCUCGUUUUCUCAGAUACCCCUGCUUUGAGGGUUUAUUGAAAAGAAUUUGGAUUGUUAGAAGGGUACAUUUCAGCAUACAUGUUUUUGAGGGCUAUAUAUGAAAGUAGGAAUGUGCUCAGAAGUAUAUAGGCAAUUGUCCCUAAACAAAUAUACACAUAUAGGUAUAAAUAUAGAUAAAUGUAGAGAGAGAGAGAGAGAGAGAGAGAGAGAGAAGAACAAGAACAAGAACAAGAACAAGAACAGAGGGCAUUAAGCCGACGGUUAAUUCUUUUCGUCGGCCUCAAUUAUCUCCCUUCGAGCCGAAGGGCUGUCUCGCAUCUACUAAGGCGGAGCAUUAUUUAGAGUACCUCAGAAAGUCACCAGAAACUCGGCUAACAAGUCAAACAAUCAUAUUAUCAGUGCCACAUAUAUAUAACUCUAUUGGAAUAAAGUUGCACUGCACAAUGUGUACAGAACUCUUCAUUUGAGAGAGAGUACUGCUACAGGUCACAAAGAGAGUUGCCCUUACAGGCAGUUGUUUUUUGGCCUAUAAUAUGUGGACAUGUAAGAGGUCCAUCGAAUAAGUACCGAACCAUUUCCGAAGUUCAUAAAUAAGUACCAAAGUGUCACGCGUCUCAUAGUUUGAGGACCAAAAGUGUAAUUUACCCUUCAUUAAACUAUUCAAUGUGAAAAGGGGGAAUCAAAUGGAAAAAUGGAAAACGAAAAAAAAAAAAAAUCAGAGGAAAAACACAACCGAAUAAUAGAGCAAAAUAGAAGAGAAAUGUUUUCAACUCCACAAGAAAAUUGUAGCACAGGAAGACAAGAAAAGGAGGGGCAGAAGUUCCUCGUCUCCCUUAUCACAACUAAAACCUGUGCUGCCAAAGUUGUUAAAGAAGUAACAGAGGAAAGAAAGGUAUCUCUAUAGCCUCAAUCAUAUUAACUUGGUUUUUCCAUAUAGUAUGUCUGAUUGUGCAAUCCACACAAUCAUCAUCAUGUGCGCUGCUUAGGCAUAUACGAAGGUUGUAUGUCAUAGUCUUCAUGACCAUUCCCUAAGGCUAAGUAGUUUGGGCACGAGUAAGAGGCACAUUAUUAAAUACUAGAGAAAGAGAGGAGAGGAAAAGAGAGACUCAAUUGAAACUCGGGAAACAGUUUAAGGACCUCAAUACACCAAUUAGAAGAUUAGGGACUCACUUGAAACUUCGUUGAAACUUCGGUAAAAGGUUAGGAAAGUCCUAUGAGAUUUACCCCUCAGAAAAUUACGAAAAGCUAUCUUGAGAUUGUUUGAGAGAGAGAGAGAGAGAGCCAGCCCGGAAGAACAGCAGCUCCUACCAAAACCAAAAUGAAACUUGACUCGAAGUUUGAGAACUAACAAUGCAAUUUCCCUCCUAGACAGUAGCUGCAGCUGUUGCCUGCAUAGCAGCAGGCCAUCCAGUUGCCCCGCCUACUCCUGUCUAAGAUAUUAAGAACAACAGGUAUAUAUGAGUCCAGGUAAUAACUGAGAGAGAGAGAGAGAGAGAGAGAGAGAGAGAGAGAGAGAGAAACUGAAAGAGCAGCUGCUUACUUACCAGGACCAAAAUGAAACUUCGGCCAAAAGUUCAAGGACCAACAGUGCAAUUUAUGCCUUAAGAAAGAGAGUAUAGACUUCAAUGUUUUCUUUUAAAAACAAAAAAUUAAUAGAAAAAAGGGUGGGAGGAGAAGAAAAUGGACGCUUGUUUGCCAAAAUAAACCCCCAUGGCUGUCUUUAUCAGCAGAAAUAUAACCAAGACCACCUCUUAGCAAGUAGUUGCAGGUGUUGCCUGCACAGCACCAGGCCAUCCACAAGCCCUGUUAACACGGUUGAUGUAGUGCACCAGGUGGAAGCAACAAAUUUCUUGUAAAGAGUAUUCUCUGUCACAGUUAUUCCAAAUAGAAUUGGUAUUCGACAGCUAAUCCGUUUGACAUGAUGCCAGGUAACCAUUUCUCCCUGAGAGAAAGACCAGGCGAAUAAAUAGAGGGAGAGGGUCAUCGGCCCAGAAGAGCAACAGCUAGUUUGAGGACCAAAAUGAAACUUGACUAAAAGUUCAAGAACUCGUAAUGUUGAUAGAAAAACAAUGGAGGUGCAAAAGAUUAACGGAGGCUCAGAUUUAACACCAAAGGAAAAAUUAAUCAUAUACACCAGUCUAACACUGGAGAUGUAGCUGCAGCCAUUGCCUGCACGGUUGAAGGCCAUCCAGCUGCCCAGCCAACAUCACCAAAGAAACAAGCAUUUCAUUGGGUCGUAAACAAAUGUGGUGAGCCGGGUGCAAGAAAUAGAUGUAUAUAUAUAUAUAUAUAUGAAUGUGUGUGUGUGUACAUGCACACAUAUGGAAAGAAAAAGAAAGAAAGAAAGAAAGAGAAUGGCAUUGCAUGAGAAUAGCAUAUCUUCUCACAAAAUUGCAGUGAUGCGGUGUUUAUCAUCAUCGCCUCCAAGAAGGAAAAGAAAGAAAAAAAAUUUGUAAGAAAGCAUAUUUUGUAUAUAAUGUAACAAAAUGUUAACGGGGGAGCUGGCAAAAAGAGAAAAAUGGAACCACAAGAUACUAAAUUAAUACACUUUAAACCACAUAGUACCAAAGUGAGAAAGUGUGAAACCACAGGGAUGGUAUUUGAAGUUUACCCAAAUGAGUAACACAUGACAGAAAGAGAAUUUAUAUAGAUGUAUAUAUUUAUAGUGGGGCUAAAAUACUAUUGAUAGUAGCAAAGUGGUGGCUGCGACCAACUUUUGACCCUUGGAUCAAUAGGGUCUAGGGUCCAGAGUUUAGGGUUUAGUGGUUGCUACUAUUGAUAGUAGCUCAACUUUAAACCACAUAGUACCAAAGUGAGAAAGUGCGAAACCACAGGGAUGGUAUUUGAAGUUUACCCAAAAGAGUAACACAUAACAGAAAGAAAAUUUGUAUAGAUGUAUAUAUUUAUAGUGGGGCGAAAAUACUAUUGAUAGUAGCAAAGUGGUGGCAGCGACCAACUUUUUGACCCUUGGAUCAAUAGGGUCUAGGGUCCAGAGUUUAGGGUUCAGUGGUUGCUACUAUUGAUAGUAGCUCAACUAUACAUGCACAUAUAUAUAUAUAUAUAUAUAUAUAUAUAGUCGAUCUUGGCUGCUUUCAAAAGUGGAGCAUGCACUAUUCAUGUGCUUCAACUCUAGCCCCAAUAAUAUAUAUAUAUAUAUAUAUAUAUAUAUAUAUAUAUAUAUAUAGUAGGCUACUAUACUAUUAAUAGCACCAACUCAUUGGUGCUAUUAGGUUUUCGGCCCUUGAAUGAAGGGAUGUGCAGUUAGGAUGACAAUGUCCCCUAGGGUUGAGAGGGUGGUUGGUUGAAUAGUAUGAUCUAACAGAUGGGGUAGAUCUAACGGCCAAAAACUUAGUAGCACCAAGCGCUUGGUGCUAUUGAUAGCAUAGUAGCCGGACUCUCUCUCUCUCUCUCUCUCUCUCUCUCUCUCUCUCUCUCUCUACAUAUAUAUAUAGCAAAAUCAAAUCUAUACAUAUGUACCACUGAAAAAUAUUUAACUUCACAUAUACAUUUAGUGCCCUGGGUCCACAAAACGUGAAAUUAGAAAUAUGAAUCAGUAACUUCCCUUUCACCAAUUUAUUUAUUUAUCUACUUAUUUUUUGAGUUACGCAAUCAGAUACAAAUAUAUAAUAAAUAGAAGAGCGAUGCUACCUCUAGAACCACCUUUUGGUUGUAAUAAAACCCUUCGAUCACACUGAGAGACACUUCCGAAAAUGAAGAUGAAUGUUCGCAUAUAUAUAUAUAUAUAUAUAUAUAUAUAUAUAUAUAUAUAUAUAUAUAUAUAUAUAUAUCCCUGCAGAGUGCGGAACUGCACAAAUACCCUUGCAGACUUCUCGUAACAAGCUGCUAAAUACAGCAGUCGCUCAGGUUUGGAUCAAGGGAAUUGGAAAGAAAACAAGAAGAGAAGAACCGCUUAAAGUAACCAAAAAAAAAUCAAAGCAAAAGGAAACAAAUACAAACCAACAAUCAAAUAGAAGUGAGAAAAAAAAAAAGAAGAUAAAGCUAAGCUUCAAAGAAGUACCUUGGUUUCAUUGGAAAAGGGAAAGCAAAGAAGAACAAAAGGGAGGGUCAGAUUCGCAGCAAUAUCGCUCUAACAGCGACGAAAGACAAGCCUUACACUGCAGAAAACAAGGGCAGUAUUUUGGCAACAAGUAGCAAUACUCUUUUGGCAAAACACCUUCCCAGCUGCACACUUAUGGCAUGCGUCACAGUCUGACAGGUUUGGUCUACAGACGAUACGGUGUAUCAAGUUCAAGAAUAGAGAAGACAUGUAAUGGGACAGGCAAACAGCAACUGAAGGACUUUCCGCAGAAAGUCACAAUCAUGUGGAAUUCAUUGCCAUCACCUUGCACAAAAUACCAGUCCAGGCAGUAUGAGAGGGAGAGAGAGAGAUAUUAUUUGCAGGGAGCUGUAUGAAAUUAACCCAUAUAUAUAUAUAUAUAUAUAUAUAGAGAGAGAGAGAGAGAGAGAGAGAGAGAGAGAGAGAGAGAGAGAGAGAGAGUCAUCAGCCUAAAAGAGUAGCAGAAAUGCCGGUCUACUUCCUCUCUGGCCAAAAACCAGGUAGAAUUUGUUCUAGAAUAAGGCAAUUUAGGUAAAAAUGCAUGGAGACCCCCUUUACCGGGGCUGCAAUUCACCUAUCCUCAAGCCCCAGGGGUGGAGAAAUUCUGAAAAAGCCCCUCAACUAUGGCCAUGUCGCAAAGUCUUUUUUUUCAACUUGCCAAAAAUGGCCAAAAGGGUAACAGCAGCAACAAUAACGAUACGGACAUGUUCCCUGCCUUUAGUUUUUGAAAAAACUUCUGCUCUCUUCUGCAUGUAAAGAAUCCAUAAAAUUACAAAGGUAAGUAAAAAUAGAAAAUUCUAUUUCUAAAGUUUAAGAAAGGCCAAUUUGCAUAAAAAAUCCACCAGUUUUGAGAUUUUGCAAGUUCGGUCCCUCUUUUGAGAGAGAGAGAGAGAGAGAGUCAUCAGCCUACACGAGUUGCAGAAAUUGCAAACUACUUCCUCUCUGGCCAACAACCAGGCAACAUUUGGUUAGAGGACAAAGCAAUUCAGGCGAAAAUGUACAGAGAGCCGCUAAAGUGGCAAUGCAAUUUCCCUGCCCUGCAGCCCCAGGCAUGGAGGAAUCCUGGGAAAAAGCCCCUCAACUAAAGUCAUGUUAAAAGAAGACCUUUGUUUUUCUUUUCCUGCAGAAAAUGGCCAAAGGGAACACAUUUGCUCUCUUUUUUUCUCUUUUGUCCUCUUCUUCUUCUUCUUUCUAAGAGAAAUCCAGUAGGCACCUUGAAUUUUUUUUUUUUUUUUUUUUGCGGAUUAACUUUUGCUCAGUUUCAGUGGUAAAGAACCAGUGAAUGCAACAAGAGAGAGCAAAAAGUGCAAAAGAUUGACGGAGGCUCAGAUUUAACACCAAAGGAAAAAUUAAUCAUAUACACCAGUCUAACACUGGAGAUGUAGCUGCAGCCAUUGCCUGCAAGUUGAAGGCCAUCCAGCUGCCCAGCCAACAUCGCCAAAGAAUCAAGCAUUUCAUUGGGUAGUAAACAAAUGUGGUGAACCAGGUCCAAGAAAUAGAUGUGUAUAUAUAUAUAUAUAUAUAUGAACGUGUGUGCGUACAUGCACACAUAUGGAAAGAGAAAAAUAAUGGCAUUGCAUGAGAAUAGCACAUCUUCUCACAAAAUUGCAGUGAUGCGGUGUUUAUCAUCAUCGCCUCCAAGAAGGAAAAGAAGGGAAAAAAUAUUUUGAAGAAAGCAUAUUUUGUAUAUAAUUUAACGAAAUGUUAACGGAGGAGCAGGCGAAAAGAGAAAAAUGAAACCACAGGAUACUAACUUAAUACACUUUAAUCCACAGGGUUACUAAAGUGAGAAAGUGCGAAACCAUAGGGGUGGUAUUUGAAGUUUACCCAAAAGAGUAACACAUAAGAGAAAGAGAAUUCAUAUAGAUGUAUAAAUUUAUUGUGGGGCUAAAAUACUAUUGAUAGUAGCAAAGUGGCGGCCGCGACCAAGUUUUUGACCCAUGGAUCAAUAGGGUCUAGGGUCCAGAGUUUAGGUUUAGUGGUUGCUACUAUUGAUUGUAGCUCAACUUUACAUUCGCAUAUAUAUAUAUAUAUAGUCGAUCACACUGAAGGACUUUCCGCAGAAAGUCACAAUCAUGUAGCAUUCAUCACCAUCACCUUGCACAAAAUACCAGUCCGGGCAAUAUGAUAUAUAUAUAUAUAUAUAUAGAGAGAGAGAGAGAGAGAGAGAGAGAGAGAGUCAUCAGCCUACAAGAGUAGCCGAAAUGCAGGUCCACUUCCUCUCUGGCCAACAACCAGGCAGAAUUUGGUUCUAGAAUAAGGCAAUUUAGGUAAAAAUGCAUGGAGACCCCCUUUACCGAGGCUGCAAUUCACCUAUCCUCGAGCCCCAGGGGUGGAGAAAUUCUGAAAAUAAGCCCCUCAACUUAGUCCAUGUCGCAAAGUCUUUUUUUUUAACUUGCCAAAAAUGGGGAAAAGGGUAACGGCUGCGACGAUAACGAUAUGAACAUGUUGCCUGCCUUUUAGUUUUUGAAAGAAACUUUUGCUCUCUUCUGCAUGUAAAGAAUCCAUAAAAUUACAAAGGUAAUUAAAAAUAGAAAAGUCUAUUUCUAGAGUUGAAGAAAGGCCAAUUUGCAUAAAAAAUCCACCAGUUUUGCGAUUUUGCAAGUUCCGUCCCUCAUUUUGAGAGAGAGAGAGAGAGAGAGAGAGAGAGAGACAUCGGCCUGCAAGAGUUGCAGAAAUGGCAAACUACUUCCUCUCUGGCCAACAACCAGGCAGCAUUUGGUUCAAGGACAAAGCCAUUCAGGCGAAAAUGUACAGAGAGCCGCUAAAGUGGCAAUGCAAUUUCCCUGCCCUGCAGCCCCAGGCAAGGAGGAAUCCUGGGAACAAGCCCCUCAACUAAGGUCAUGUUGAAAGAAGGCCUUUGUUUUUCUUUUCCUGCAGAAAAUGGCCAAAGGGGACACAUUUGCUCUCUUUCUUUUUCUUUUUUUUUCUUUUGUCCUCUUCUUCUUCUUCUUCUUCUUUCUAAGAGAAAUCCAGCAGGCACCUUGGAUUUGUUUUUUUUUUUUUUUUUUGAGGGAAAGAAACUUUUGCUCUGUUUCAGUGGAAAAGAACCAGUGAAUGCAACAAGAGAGAGUGGAAAGAAAAAAAAAACCUAAUUUCAAAGUUCGAAAAACAAAAUGAUCAUCAAAGAAUUCACAAGAAACAAAUACAAAUUGAUAAAAUGGUAAAAUGGUAAUACCAAGAACAAAACGAUAACGAAUAUAUGACGAGCUUCCAAUAAUACCUUCGAUUUUCUCAGCAAAAGGGAAGGAAAGAAAACAAAAGCAAUGCUCAGAUUACCUGGACAAAAUGACUAUUUUAAUGGCCGAUGUGGCAUGUUCGUAAGUUCAACGAUGUAGAACAAAAGCAACGCUCAAAGUAAUGCCAUCCCUUUUCCCUCACCAAAUAAAUAGUGAAGAAGAAAUUUAUCCAACAGAAUUGAUUUAUUGAUACUCAAAAAGCUCCAAAAAAUAGGGAAAGUAUGAUUCAAAUACUAAAUUGUUCAUCCAACAAUUUGAGUUGAAAAGUCAAAAUCAAAAUUUUAAGAAAAAAUAUAUGCAAUAAAUCAAACUGAAACCCCCCAAAUAAAACAGAAAAAAGAACAGCAAGUGAGAAAGAUGUUAAAGGUAGAGAGAUGAAAAGAUCAACAGAGAUUCCACUCUCGUAACGACUGUGUAGCUGCAGCAAGCCUGCCCAACAGCAGGCCACCCAGCUGCCAUGCCAACAUCAGUAGAGAGAGAAUUGAGCCGUAAAUGGAAAAUUUGAAGUUUCCGUUUUCCGCUGUUUUUCGGCGGAGAACGAAAACUCUCUGGAGGAUGAUGGUCUCUUACCCUCUUUAUAUAUAUAUAUAUAUAUAUAUAUAUAUAUAUAGAACUAGGCAAGAAUACUAUUAAUAGCACCAAGUUAUAGGUACUAUCAGUUUUUCGGCUCUUCGAUGAAGGAUGUGCGGUUAUAAUGACAGUGAUCCCUCUAGAGUUUAGUGAGUGGUUGGUAGAACAAUAUGAUCUAAGGAGUGGAACUAGUCGAAGGGAUAGAUCUAAUGGAGAAAAAUUUGGUAACAUCAAGUGUUUGGUGCUAUUGAUAGCACUGUAGCGGGCCUCAUAUUUAUAUAUUAUAUCCAUGUUAUUAUAUAUUAUAGAACUAGGCUGGAAUACAUAUAGAUGAUGAUGAUGAUGAUGAUUAUACUAAUAUAUAUAGAUAUAAAUAUUAAUUAUAUAAAUAUAAUAUGAUAAUUAUUUAUAUAAAUAAUGAUACAUAAUAUAACAGAACAAAAAUAUUUAAAAUUAUUUUUCAUUCAAAUUUUUUCUUUCAAUCAAACAAGCAUUGGAAAGCUCCUUUUUUCCCCUACAAAUAAAACGUUAAAGAGCGUUUUUUUUUCCAUCGAAAUUUCUUUUCCACCGAAAAUUAUCUUUCACAGUUUUACGUUGAACCAAACGGACCCUAAAUGGAAAAUGAGCUAUAAACCACAGGGGAGCAAAAAAGAGUAAAACUUUUGGAAUCACGGAGUGGCAAAGUAAAAAUGAGCUAAAACACGGGGGGCAAUUUGAAGUUUACCCUUUCUUUUUUCAUGAUCCAUUGGGGAAAAAAGAAAAUGAAUGAAAAUUUUUGAAGGAUAUGUUCAUUGUGAUGAGGAAAAGAAAGAAUAGUGCAACGCUUACAUACAAUUUCCACAGGAUGCGAUCCGAUUGGCUCGGUCCACGGAUGGCGCGGUGGACCAGGUCUAGGAUUUGGCUUCAAACCCCUCCCGGUGCGCCGCGGCGGCGCUAGGCCCUCCGGCCACCGCACCCACCGAGGAUACUAGGGUUCAUAGCAGUAGCUUGUUGCCUCAUAGUCGGCGUCGUAUGCGGACGCGCGAUGAGGUGGACGAGGCGAGGGGUCGCAUGGAGACCACGCUCCUCCUCCGCCAUUGUUGCGAAAAUAGAGAGAGAGAGAGAGAGAGAGAGAGAGAGAGAGAGAGAUGAGAUGAGAUGAGGGAUCGCAUGGAGAACACGCUCCUCCUCCGCCAUUGCUGCUCAAAUAGCGAGCGAGAGAGAGAGAGAACGCGCUACCUCCGAAUUAGGGUUUCUGGGGAAGAAGAAGACGACGAAGAAGACAAAGAGGUGGGCGUAGGGCUCGUUGGUUUUAUUUAGUGUUUUCAUGGCGAAUCAAAGCCGUUGGAUGGGUAACGGAGGGCCGUGAUCAAGAAUCUAGAAUAAUCCGACUACACGAAUUUCCAAAAUUGCCCUUCCCCUCUUUCUCGCUCGUCGUUGUUCGUGCGUGAUCAGAAAAGUUACAUUGACGGAAAUGCCCCUCCUCUCUUCCCCUUUCUUCAUCAUUGCCCCCAACCGCCUCGGAAAUCGUGAAGUGUCAGAUUUAAUGCUGUACAGUUGCCAAUUAAUUUUAAACGAUUGAGUUAACCAUUCAUUAAAUUAAAAUCAUAAAUAAUUUUGUUAAAAAUAAUGAAUUUAAAUUAUUUAAAGAGCUUAAAAUAUUAUCAUCCAAUCUGCGAAGUUUUGGCAACCGAAGGAAAAGAAAAUGAAUGGAGUUCUACAAUUGGAAAAAAAAAAAAAAGAAACAGAAAAACAAACAAUAGCAACAAAUACCUAAUAAAGAGGAAAUUGAAAUAACCAAGUCUUGCAGAUACGAAAACAACAUCAGCGAAGCGAAAACAUGCAUGCAAUAAAAAUAAGGAAUCCGAAUAACACCAAACAGCAGUGAAAGCCGCUAAAUAGUGCGGUCGCCGUGAAGUGAAACACACAAAAAAAAAGAAAAAAAAAGGAAAAAUCAUGAAUAUAAAAAAACCCAAUACUGCACCAGAAACAUCAGAUGUUGCAGUACAUGAGCCAACUUCUAGACAGGAUUCUUUAGUAGCAGCUACAUCCACAUUCAAUGAUGCUCAUAGACUUAUAACAGGCAUAUAAUAUGAAGCUAUCAGAAGAAGCACUUUGGGCAUAAGCCCAUGGAAGCAGAAGCAGCAAAUACAUGAUUUUAUCCACAUGCGAACAAAUCUCGAAGGCGAGUACGUAUGAUAAUUACCUCUGCGAAGAAAAGAAGAAAAAAUUCAAUACCAGCUCACUAGCAAAGUACCAUUUUGGCAUCAGAAGCAAUUGAACUUGCAAUUGAGACAUCAAAUUGUCAGAUUUGUCGUCAUCCUCUCUUCAUUCCAGUAGUCUCACAACAAUAAGUGCACAACUUGAAGACAGAAGAAAAACAUAUUACCAGCCAGAAUGUCAACCAAACAUCACCUCUCUCUUUAGUCGCAGCGUCAAAGUUCUACCGAAGCAACACCAGGUAAUAAAGGGGUGACUUGCGAUAAAACUUGCAAGUGAUAUUAGUAGUUAAAUAAACUAAACACACAUUAAGGCUUGCACAACUCAGGAGCUAUCCUCUAGGAAAGUCUUUAGACAAGGAUUAGUUUGCGUACGGAAAAAAGAUGAUGAAAGCAUAAUUUAGUGUUGCAUCUCCUUUAUACUUUACAGUUAAGCAAAAGAACCAAACGAAGCUCAAUGUCGAACACUGUAAAAGAACCAAACGAAGCUCAAUGUCAAACACUGAAUUAAUAAGUAACUGAUAUAGUUACCAGCAGCAGUAGCAUCUCCAUUAAAUGAAAAAUCAUGCGAAAGUUUUAAAUGAUACGAAAAGCUCUUGACAAAGAUCUAUCUCUCACUGGCAUGCACAACACAGGUAACAAACAUGAUGCUCCAAAGUAUCAAACUCUCGAUAACCUCUUAAUAACCAUUUCAUCUUCAGAUCCUUCCCUAAGUGGCUCUUCAAACAGUUACACUUGCAGCAAUAUUAGAUCCUCAAUUAAAUAGAAAACCAUGUAACAGUAUCAGGAAUUCUAUCAACAAAGAAGUUGUCAUAGUCCACGGCAUAAAAAUGAAGCAUGACACUUUGAGGACAUCACUCUUCAUGUUUUCUAGCAAAGUGUACAUAACAUACUCCCAUCCAACUAGCCUAAUAAUAGUAAUCACUGAUUGGAAUGAGAUCCAGGUAAUUCAGAAUCACUCGCUCCAUCUAGUCACUCCUCUUUCAGAUUUUCCCGCAGAGACGCACCCACCAAUACUUCAAUAAAUAAGCACGAAAGGGACCAUAUGUUCAAACAUUACAAUCAGAUAUAAGUAUGGUUACUCUCACAGAAGACGGACUCCGACCUUCUUCCUAGAAUCAAAAACAAGAAUCCCAAUAAACUAAAAAAAAAACAAAAGAACCCUGAACAACAGAACAAAAGUAACACAGGUUGAGAAGCAAAGUUAUACCUUUCUUGCCAUUUCAAGCUUGAAAUCUAUAUUUUACAAUUAAUGCGGCUUAAUACUUUGCGAUAUGCAGCUCUUCCUACGUUGCCUUAUUUGGUGACUAAGGAACUUAACGUAGAGAAUAACACUAACAUUGAUAAAUCUAGAGUCAUCCAUUUUUUGAUGCAAUUGGGAGAAGGUAGACGCCCUCUUGCUUUGCUUAAGAUACGCAUAAGCACACAAGGAUAAAAGUAUUGGUCCGAGAAUUUAAGAUGAGCAACAACAAAUUUAAACAUGAAAUUCUGAUGAAAUAAAAAAUGGAUAGCUUCCAAAAGAAUCUUAAACUAUGAAAGUAAAGAUACAACAUAUUCAGCUGAAACUAAGGAAUUCAGUGUGGCACUGUCUCAGAACAGUACCUGGCAUUCUAUGUCAGGAUGCGGAAAAGUAACAGCGAAAGAUACAAACAUAAAAUGCAUUCGCCAAGAAUUCAAAUAACUUAAGCCCGGUUGAAGUACAGCAGAACAACAUAAAAUUUUUCACUUGGUAAAAAGAAAAAACAAUGCAAAUUAAUCACACACAUGCAUAAUGAUGAAAAGCAUCAAACAGAGAAAGAGAACAUACUUAAAAGUGAAGAAACAUAAGCACUCAUCAUUGCUCUCAAAAAACAAGAAAAAACAAAGACACUCAUCAUUUACGACCCUAAACAAUUGGUUAUCCUAAAUCCUAAAACAAAAAAAAGCUAAAAAGCUUAUUUAAAGAGAUCAAAUAGAAUGAAGUAACAAACUUACCUAUAAGGUAUACCACUCUGUAAAAGGAAAAUAUCUGUAUGAAAUGUUUAACUAAUUUAUAGUGGCACUAGUGUAUUAUCUAAACUUAACCAGAAUAUCCUAGAGAAUUGUCAUAAAACUCGAACAAUUGAACUCGUGAGGAUUAAUACCUAAUUCAGCCCAAUAAGAAGUAGACCAUAGAAUCAAUUAAAGCCAAUGCCUUUGCGCAUCUAAUUAACAUAUCUAAAGCAAAUUGCACCAAAACGAACAAAUCGACACGGAAAUGAGAAAUAUAUUUUCACCAAACAGACUAUCUUUUCAUUAAUUCAUAUUUUAUUAGAAUAAAGUUUUCUCCUUUUUUUCCCCACUCAAUGAGUGUUCAACCCAUUCUCCACACCGAGACCAUACAACACGCCGGCGUACUUUUCGGUGGAGCCGUUGAAGAACGACUCCUUCAACUUCCUGAAGGUACAGGACGUGAGCAAGCUAUCGGACCCGGCCUGGUGGCAGAUCCCGACGCGCUCGACUUCGAGCAAUUCGGCGAGCUUGUUGAGGCCCCCGUGGAGGCUGUUGCAGAACUUCAUGAGGUGCUUGAUGUCGUAGACCAUGGGGAAGUAGAUCUUGAUGAGGGCGAAGAAGCCGGCCUGGGUGUCGGGGAGGUUCUGGCAAGUGAGGAGCUUGAGGAGGUAGCCGAAGUCGUAGCCGCUGUGGAAGGUGACCCAGUGGACGGAGUCGUUGAGCACGAUGCCGGACGACAUGAGCAGCUCGGCGAAGCGGUGGGCGUCGAUGCCCUUCUCGUUGUUCUUCUUGAAGUCGAUGCCGCUCUGGCGGAGGAGCUCGAUGGAGUCGGAGGCGUAGACGUCGCGGUGGGCGUCGAACUCGCGGAAAUUGAACUGCCAGACGCAGCCGCGGCCGGUGCCGCAGGUGGGGAGGUUGCCGGCGGCGUCGGAGAAGGUGAGGCCGAGCUGGAUGAGCUUGAGCAGGUCGACGUUGGCCUUGAGGGUGGCGUAGUUGAAGUCGGAGUUGGUCUUGAAGCUCCCCAGGGGGCGGAGGACGAUCCCGGGGAACUCCGUGUCCAUCGCCACGUACGGGAACUCGUCGACGAUGUCGCGGAUCAGGGCGAACUCCGACUCGAGGUUCUCGCCCCACACCUCGCGGAUCUGCACCGUCUCGUUCUUCGGCAGGAUCGCGCUCGACAUCUCCGGACCAUCCAAAACCUCGCGGAAACCCUAGGAAUCGGGGACGGAGAGCACGGAUCUAGCGCGGGCGAGGGGGGAUUCGGGCACGAUCGGCGUGGAUCUGGGGAGAGGAAACUAGGGUUUGUGGGGAUUUUGAAGGGGGGAUGCGCGGGGUCAAAGGGGGUGGGCGAUGAUGAGGAUGCGGAGAACGUCGUCGUCGUUCCCCUGAGCUAGGGUUUACUCGUUUUCAAAAUCGCAUCGGCGUCGGCGAGAGGAAGGUGAAGCGAAGAAGAGUCGAAAGAGCGAUAAAGAGAGAGAGGUGAAAUGACGAGGAUUGGGGCGGCGAGGAAUUAGAAGAGGAGAAGGGGAGGUAAAAUUGCGCGGAUAAGCCCCUGUACUAUUCCUUUAUAUCAACUCCCUCCCUGGAAUUUUCACUUUUUUGUCCCCACUCAAAAACACAUGUCCCCACUCAAAAACACAAAUAAUCGCUAUAUGUCUUUACACCUCUCGUCCUCUGUUUUGAAUUGUGAUAAAAUUGCGCUACAUACGAUAAAAAAAAAGAAUAAAAUUUUAAUACUGACUGUUCUCGACGCGAGACUAUCAUAUUUACUAUUUUAUCACAUAAAUUAGCACGAAUUUCAAAGCAGCUGAACAGUGAAUGUGAUCGUCUUUCAUAUUAGUGGGACAAUUCUUAUCAAAAUUUUGUUCAGUCAGAUAUAUGAUAUUUAUUUUGGUACGUAAUAUUAUAUUCGGUGUAUUGCAAUGAGUCGAUUACGAUAUGUAAUAUAUAACUGCAUUAAGUGUUAGACUGAUUUCAAUACCAAAUGGGUCGUUAAUAUUAAAAAAGCGCCAACAAUGUUAGAUCGAAAGGAGUCGGGAUGAUAGCAUGUGGAAAUAUAAUUUUUUGGUUUCAAUAAGACAACAGAAAUUACAUAUUAAUAAAAAAAAUAUGAUAUGCGUAAUAUUUCAUUACAAAAAUAAAUAAACAAAAAAGAACCUCUUAUCAUUUUUUAUCAUCAUAUACAAUGCAUCAAAAUACCAAUCAAGAAUUUAAAAAGUUAUAAAGAUCAUUAUUUCAGUUUCUAACAUUCAUUGCGUUCUAUUAAACAGGUCCUUUUUGUAAUUCACUGUAUUUAAUUAUUUUCACACCAUAUAUAUUUAUAACUUAGUAAAAAUUUUAUCGCAAAAAUCAUAACAAAUAGAUCAACAUCAAACUUUGACAUAUACUAAUCUUUAAUAUCUGAUCUGUAAAUAUAAUUUAAUUCAUUCAUGAAAUAAACUUUUAGACUUUGUUCAAAAUUAUAUAUCAAAUUAAUUUAUUUUACAAAAAUAGAAUGUAAAAUGAUUAUUUUCUCAAGAAAAAGGUAAAAUGUUUUUCAACAAGUGUAUCAGUGCAGCAUUUGUAGCCCUUCACAAUUAAAAUAAGAAUCAAAUAAGAAUUUAAUAUAUUACAGGGACUUCUCCGUAAAUUUUACUUUAGAAAGCAAUGGAGAGCACGGGCGAGCAACGGUGCGGUGAACUGCUGGUGUCGGUUACGCCCGAUAUUUAAAGCCCACGCGUCGCGAUCCAACAGGCUGAGCGAGGAGCGUGGGCCCUCGUCGUCUCUCCAUUCAUAACGCGACACGUGUCCGUUUGGUUUUCGAACGUGGCGGGGCCCGCGGAGAAGGUACCGACUUUGGUCACCUCGAGCCUCGCGAGAGUGACGUGGAGCUUUUUAGUUUAUUCAACUUAAUUUCAAAUUUUAAAUUAAUUUGCUUUAUUAAUUUAAACUAAUUUGAUUAUUACUAAUUAGGGUGCGUAAAAAAGAAAAUGCUAGAUCUAUAAUAAAUUGGAACACUUAUAAUGGACGGUUGUGAUUCUACGAUAAGAAUGAUUUGAGUGAGAGUAAAUACGGAUAUGAAAAUAAGAAAAAAAUUAAAAUCAUAUGAACUAAAUUUCAGUUGAGAGCUCGAUUCAAAUAUAUAAAAAUUAACCUACUCUUAUCCGCCUCGAAUAUGUGACGAAUAAAAAAAAUAUAACUUAAAAUUUAAUUUAAUAUUAAUUCCAACAAAAAUUACCAUUGGAAACAGGGAUGACAAGGGCGUUGACAUAUUCGGAAUAAAAUUUUAAAUAUUUUUAAAAUUCAAUAUACGAUAAAUUGUAGAAAAAUAAAAUGCGAAACACAAUAUAUAAUGAAUUUAUCGUAUUUAAUUUUUUAAAAAAUAAAAAAUUGCUACUAAAGUUUGUCAGAUCGUUGGCGUUAAUUGUUAAUCCGAAAAAUUCGAGUUGUCAAAAAGAUAUAAACAAUUCACUUUAGCAUAUAGGUAAAGCGCCAACGGAUUUCGAUAUGCUAUUUCGAAUUGACUCAGCUCAAUUUGACCUUCCGUCAUGUCGAACAUGUUUCGACUCAAUUUGGUUUCUCACCGGCCACCACAGCGCAGGAUGCUGGCUCCAUUAAACCAACAAUCCUCUCCCCGAGCACAUACAUAAAUUCGUAGCGUGCGACAAUCGAAACUCUAGCUGUUAAAAAGAUACGAUCAAUUUAUUUAAACUAUAUAAAUACGUUGCUUACGGAUAUCAAUUGUAACUUAGUCGAACCAACCUUGCGCCAUUUUCGAACACGAUUCAGUCCAAUCCGACCCCACGUCAUUUCGAGCUUAUCCUCAUUCAAUCUGGCCUCUCACUACACAAUAGAAUGUUGGCUUUUUUUAAACAACAAAAUUAAUGAUGAUGGUGCAUUGCACCCUUAGAAACACUAUUUGUUUGUUUAUUUAUUUAUUAAAUUCCUCUCUAUCUAAUUAUUAUUUUGUUUUAUUAUUAUUAUUAUUAUAGUUAUUAUUUUGGGUCCCACAUGAGAUAUUCCAUUCCAAUGGGCUAUGGUUCCUUAUGAACAUUGGAUGGUGUACUCCGAAAAGGACAACAAAUAUAAUUUUUAGAAAAAUUGUAAAUAAAUGAUGAGUGGUGGGGUAAAGUGCUAAAAUGCGCGUUGGAAAGUGAGACCACGUCCAUAGAAUCAGAGAUAUAUAUAUAUAUAUAUAUAUCACAAAAUUUUGCAAAAUUUGGCGACACACAUGAUGCACGAGUUCCUAUCAUAUUUUUUACUUUAUUAUUAUUAUUAUAAUAUAUUUUAAAAAAUUAUAACUUAAUUAUUUUUUAAGGCAUGGUAAGCAAAAAGGUUAAAUAUAUUUUUUAAAGCAUAGGGAGUAAAAAUUAAAACAUGUUAAAUCAUAUGGGAGCAAAUUAUAAUUUACCUAAUAUAUCCGGAGUGAAGAAGUUUAAAUUAUUAUUGGAUAUAAUAUAUCUGAUUUGGUACUAUUAAAAACUGCUCUUGAUGUAUCAAUUACUAAUUUUUUUUUGGAGAGGUUUGGUUUUUCGUGCAUUAAUACUAAAAGAGCACAGCUGAGGAUCUGUUUGUUUUCGUUGAUCUUAAACAUUGAGCUCAUGAUCGACUUUGAGAAAGUCAUAAGUGAUGUUGUUUGUUUUCGCAGUAGAAUCGCGAGAUUAGUCGAACUUCCGCUAACAAUUGUACAGUAAAUCAGUCAUUUGAUUUUGAUAAAAUGAGAAGCGAAGUCGCGCUCACAGAACUCACAAUCGGCGUGUACGUGGAGUACUUGAAAUUGUACUAGCAAAUAUUCGCAACCUCUUUUUUUUUUUUUUUUUUUCGCUUCUUCGAAGUUUAUGCUUUUCCAGUAUCAAAAUGUCGUUAAAAAAUAUUUUAAUAAUUUCUAAGUAAGCUAUAAUCAGGCCAAACAAUUCUUAAAUAUGCACAAAACUAUCAAACUUUUUUUUUUUUUAUUUUUUGUCCUCCUAUUCCUAUAAUUGUUAGGAGACGUACAACACUCAGUAAACUUUCACAGCAACUUGCUUUGUAAAAGCCAUAAUAAUAAUAAUAAUGAAACGGACGCUGCAUUUGGACGUGUAGAUCCAUCAUUAAUGAGUCAACAUGUGUCCUUAUCUUAAAUUGGAGAAAAAAAGAAAAAAGGUUUGUUAAUUAAAACUUUUUAGUUUAUUUUAUUUUUUAGAUUCUUGUUUGUGGUACGCAGAGGAAAUGUCCUUGGAUCAUCAGAUCUGGUUCGGACAAAGACAUCAGUGCAACACAAGUCCAAUUUGAAGUUUCCAUGGAAAAGAUCAUAUGGCUUGUCAAAAUUAAAAGUAAAAUUAUGUGUAGUGCUUUAUCUCUUUAUAUCCAAAUUAUUAUUAUGUCUAAGUUUAGAUUCCUUCAAUUAUGUGCGCAUAGUAAGCUAAUGAAUAUUCGUUUUGAAAUUGAGUAAUGUUACUUGCACACAUACAUAUCUAUAUACACUAAUAGAGAGAGUCCGGUUACCAUAUUGCCGAUAGUACUAAAUGCUUGGUGCUAUCAAAUUUCCUACCGUUAGAUUUAUUCUUUUGAUCAUUUUCAUUCAUUAUAUCAUAUUAUUCAACCAACUGCACAUUCAAUCCUAGAGGAUUACUGUUAUCCAAAUCAGGGACCACUAUCAUUUUAAAUGCACAUCUCUUUAUUCAAGAGCUGAAAACCUAAUAGCAUAAAGUGCUUGGUACUAUUACAAUAUAGUAGUGUGUGUAUAUAUAUAGACCUAGACGGGAAUAUUAUCAAUAGCACCAAAUUAUUGGUGUUAUUAGGUUUUCGACUCUUGAAUGAAAAAAUGUACGAUUAGAAUGAUGUGGGUCCUCUAGGAUUGAGUGAGUUAUUGGUUUAAUAGUAUAAUCUAACGGUGAAAAUAGUCAAAUGGUUAAAUCAACGGCAGAAAACUUGAUAACACCAAACGCUAGCUUAGUGCUAUCGAUAGUAUCUCAGUCGGACUCUCUCUCUCUCUCUCUCUCUCUCUCUCUCUCUCUCUCUCUAUAUAUAUAUAUAUAGCUAGUACUACUAUACUCUAUGAAUAUAAACCUUUUUGUACUUAUAAGUUUUUGACCGCUAUAUCUACCUCUUUAACUAUUUUCAUCUAUUAGCUCAUAUUGUUCAACCAACCAUUUACUUAACCCUAAGGGACCACAAUUAUUCUAAUUCGGGACCACUAUCAUUAACUGCCCAAAACUUAUGAGUAUAAAAAUAUCUAUACUCAUAAGAUUAUAAUAGCCGAACUCUCUAUAUAUAAGGUCUAAAAUAUUGCAAUCACAUAGAUAAUAUGGUGUCUUCAACCUAUCUUAUUUAAUUCCUAGAAUUCACUUACGCCAUCAUAAUUUUUAGAAAAAUAUUUAUAUUGUAUUUUUUUUCAUAAAAAAAUUUAAUUGGUUAAAAAAUUGGUGACAAAGUGGCUAUAUAGAAGACUCUCUCUAUAUAUACGGCGUAAAUCUUAUAUCUUAGUCAUUUAAAAACUAAUAUUUACUUACUACUCAUAUUAUUAUUUAAUACCAAAAAUCUCAAAAAUUAUCUAAACCCUUAACUAGGUUCAUGAAAAAUUUACACUCUACAUAUAGAGUGCAUAUAUACUAUUUUCUUUUAAAAAUUUCACAGAUCGCUCUUAGCACGGAAAUAAUAUUUAAGGGCGAGUUUGAUUAUGAUUUACAAAUAUUAUUAAAAAAUAUAAUAUAAUUAAAGAUGCAUGAUGUUGAAAAUACAACAAUUAUAUUUACAUUUUUCUCGUUUGGUGGUUGUAUAUUAGCAAAAGCGAUGAGAUACACAAAUUCGUUUUCUGUCGCCUACGAAUUUUAUUAUUUUAAUAUAUAAAAUGAUGAAAGUAUAUUAUAAAGAUCUAUUUUUAUGUCUUAAAAUCUUAUAAGGUAGGUAACAUUAUCUUCUGUAUGUUAUUACCCUACAACCGCAGCAUUUUCAACUGCUCCUAAUUUGAAUGCAGCUCGAAAUGCAGCAGUUAAAUUUUAAUUUGCUGGUCUAAAUAUAACAUGUAGAUACAACUACAGCAGUUUAAUAAAAAUUUGAACUUGCUUAUAAUUGUGCUUGUAACAUAGUUUGAGAUCCAAAAUAACAAAACAAUCACUAAAAGGUGUUACAAGGACAAAUUAACAACUUAUUGGGUGAUGAGUAUAGUCCAUGUGCUUAGUCACUUGGCUUUAUAUGGGACUCACUUUUCCUUUUUUUUUUUUUUUUUUUUCUGCUUUAUUUUUUCUCUGUUUCCUUUUUUUUUCUUUUUUUCUUUUUUUCCCAUAUUUAUCUUUUUGUUUGGUGACUGGUGAGUGAGAACAUGGGGACUCGCAUGUGCUUGGUCAGCUUUUCCUGAUCUUUCAAUUAUUACAAAAAAAAUUAUUCCCCCACUUCAGCCAUUUUUGAAAUUACUUUCUCAAAUAGAUUUAAAAUUGAGAUCUAAAUAUUUUCCCUGGCAAAUUCCUCCUCAAAAGAGAAAGGAUAACAAAAAAGAGGAUAGCUUGAUCCAUAUAGGGUAAAAAGGAACAUCCAUAUUUAAUCAACAAUCACAUACAAUGUAGGAAAUGCAUACAAUUAUACAUGUUGAGCAUCAAAGUUAAUCAUAUCUCUCAUCUGAAUCAUUUAAAAGAAGAAUCCAUCUACAUAACAAAGUUGUGAGAUCCAUUCUACAUAUAGACUAUAUUUCUUAUAGCAUUCAUACUGAAGGGGCAUUCAUGAAACAUGACCCUGACCAGGAGCCCACACAUCUCAGAUAAGAUCAAAGUCUAAUUUAAUCUAUCAAUAGAAGAACAGGCCACUUUAAAUCACACUGGAUCAAGCGAACGACUCGAGCGAUGCAAUAAAAGAAUCUACUGCGACGACACAAAGAAAGAAGCAUUAAAGAUGACAAAGUUAUCAAAAGCCUCUCGAGCAAAACAUUUUCAUCAAAAACACUACCAGCAUCAUGCAUUGUACAUGUAAAGCCAAAUACAAACUUCAUGAAUUUCUUCAAGUUCACAUGCAAAUUGUCAGUCCUCAUUUUCCAACUCUAACUACUUUAUACUUGCGACAAAAUCAAAAUGAAGAAUUUCACAACUAUUUCGGAAACUAUCAAUCAGUUACUCCUAAUUGGUAACGCCGGAAAUUAUGGAUGGAUUAGUCCCUAAUGGUAACACCAGAAGCUAUGGAUGUGAACUUCUGGAGGAAAAAAAAGAAGAAAAAUCUAAAAAAACUAAAAAAUUCUCAAUAAUGAGAAGAGCAACUCAUAUUCAAAUCAGACAAUUAUUGAAUCACCCAUAUUGAUACGAAGUGAUUCAAUUAGCUCAGUAAUUGAAUCAAAUGACCAAAUUGUGGAGAUAAUGCUCUAUUAAUUCAAACCUAGCUUACCCUCACGCAGACUGAUACCAAUUCGGCAAAUUACUAAAAUCUUACUGUAAACUAGUCUAAAAUGAGUUGGAUUGUGUCAAUUCACUUCUCAAGCAAAUAUCUCAUUGCCAAAUCUCUUGAAAAUGUUAGCUAACUUCACCAUCCAAUAAUGUAGUUAACCCCACUCUAUGAACAAACUGAAUAACUACAUAUUCAAAUCCAAAUGAUGUCGACCAAUUACCAAUCCGGUUGAACAUAGAACUUCCCUGAGCAUAUAUAGAAGUCUAGCAGACUCAAUUGACUCACUAGUAGGAUUCAAAUGACCCAAUUCGGCACCACUAUUGCAUAACUAAACCAAAUCUAUCUCCGUCACAUCUACAGUUGCACACACCGGACAAACUAAACAAAAUAAUCUCAAUUAGUUUAGGCUGAAUAUGGGUCACAAUGCACAACAACACAAGAAAGUAGAGAUUGGAUCAGAAGUCACAUCAGUAGCAUUUCACACCAUUUACAAACUGGACAGAUUCAAAUGUUUAGUAACUAAAAGCAUUAUUUUUGUGGCUUCAUAAACUUGACAUUUACAUAAUAUUAGCUCAAGUUUCCUAAAAUCUAUCAUAAACAUAAGCAGAAGCAAUUGUGCAGCAAAUAAGCAGUCCUGAUUUGAGUAAAUGAAUGAACUAUCAAAGUACAUUUCAGGAUCUUUAAUGUUCAAUUCAAAACACACUCGGCUACACGAAAUUUCAUAUCACAAUCUCUACAAAAGUGCAAUUUAAGACGGCUAUAGUGACCGAGAACAUCAAAGCAACCUUUCGAGAGUAUGGUACUGCAAUAUAACAUAGUUUUGCCAUCAGUUCCUGCCGAGUGGAAGCGACCUGCAAGAAAACGUCUCCUUGAAGUCCGAUUUCUUUGACGAAGUGAAUAUUGACGCGUACACUUCCUUCGUGGCAUUAGCCGGUGCGAUAUCCAGAGCCCUAAAUCUCUUCCCAUUACUAUCUUUCUUCCCAUUAUCCAAUACAUCGCCUUUCUCAUCGGCAGCAUGCUUCGUGCCGCUCAAGCAAGCGCCCGCCUUCUUCUCCUUCCUCUCCUUCACUCUCCCCCUCUCCUCCUCCAUCAUUGCCCUCAACAGCUUGACCUCCUCGGCGCUCCCGUUGAUCACAAUCUUAUCCGAAUCCGAGAACUCCUUAUGGCAAACCAAGCAAGACGUCGACUUCACCUCCUUCAGAGCCUUCGCACUCAAUACGUGGCCGCAACCCCUGACCGCAAAGAAGCUAUACUUCCCAUUGAAUUCAAGACCGGUAAUCGGGCACUGGAAUUUAGUUUCGGCAUCAGUAGUGGCACCCGGAAUAGAAUCGAGGUGGAUGGGGAUGAGGUCCUUGAGCCCGCGGAUGUGCUUGAACUCCUUGGGGAGCUUCUUGUGGAGAAGCGCUUCUAUGAGGGCCUCCUUGUUGAAGAGGUUGCCGAGGCGAUCGACCACGGCGGGGUGGGCGAGGGGCUCGCCGGAGAGCGCGCAGGUGGUCCACUUGGAGAGGCGGGUCUCGUUGGGGUCGACCUUAUCGGGCUUCUUCGUGGCGUACAUGUUGAGGUAGCAGUCGCGGGACUCGGCGCCGGUGGCGCCGCCAUCUCCGCCGCCGCCGCGGAGGCGGAGGCGGAGGGUGAGGUCGAGGACGCCGCCGCCGCCGCCGCCGGCGGCGGAGGCGAGGGUGGAGGAGUCGGGAAGGGGCUUUCCGUUGAGGGAGAAGUAGAGGGAGUCUAGGGCUAGGGUUUGUGGGAGGAGGAGGGAGAGCUUGAGGCGGCGGAGGGUAAAGUCGGGGGCGAGGGUUAGGGCGCGGGAGGGGAGGGAGAGGUCGGGGGAUCGGACGAGGACAUGGACGGGGGUUAGCGUUUCGUCCAUGGCUAGGGUUUCGUUUCCCUUCGAUCGGGGGAGAGGUGGGGCGAAGGAGACGAAGAAGAAGAAGGGGCAGCGUUUUGCAAGUUACUGAAGCGGGUAACGGAUCUCUAUAUAAUAUGCAUCGAAUACGGAGUCGGAGUGGAACCGCCACAACCCACCGAAGAGAUUGGCGGUGACGGGAUUCACACUAGUGGGUUUUAUGGUUUGGUUCGGACCUACGGAGUCAAAACCGGAUCGGGUCGGGUUCGUUUCGGAUCUAUUCGUGGCUUCUGACUAAUGACCUUUUAUUUAUUUAUUGCAAAAUUACAGAAGAGAAAUAUUGUAAUAUUAAACUUUUAUAUUGACUAAAUUGCAAAAAGCAACCCAUUGCCGGAUCACGUUGAGAUUCGUGCGGAUCGUGCAUCUGAUAUCAACGUUCCGAUACGCUUCGUUCUCCCGCUUCUUCUCCAAUCGCACUCUGCGCCUUAGACCCUAAUAAAACCCUAAUCGCGAAAUCCUAAAGCGAGAGCGCCAUGGACGAGUCCAAGAAGCGCGUCCCCCACUUGCCAUGGAUGCGAAACCCCGUCGACAUUGAUCUCUUUGACGAGCGUCCCCUCUCGCUUCUUCCUCAUCUCGAUCGCAGGUGCUCUUCUCCGCCGCUUUUUUUUUUUUUCAUGUACUUUUUACCUGAAUUUUGUUCUUAGUUUGACGGGAUUCUAUGAUUUUUGUGAGGUGUAGCUGAAUACUGUUCUUUUUAGGUUUUUUGUGUAAUUUAUGCAAAUAAUUUCAUUUAAAUGUAUUAAAUUUAGCUUCUUGUGCAUCGAUUGGAGGUAAUUAACAACGCAGGAUAUGAAUUUCAUAACUACAUUGGUUUUAUAGAAUUUUUGUUCAAUACGUAUGCAAUCAACUGUUUUGCUCUUGUUAUAAGAUUAUAUAUCAGUUUGUUCAAGUAGAUGAUAGAGUUCUAAGAAUGCUUUGGUUUGUAGCUUCCUAUUUUUAGCGAAAUUACUUUGCAACAAAGUAAUUUUUGCAUAUAUGCAUGCAAAAUCAUAUGUUUUGUAGUAGUGCUAGCUGAUGUUUGCUCAUUAAAAGUGUUUGUAUCACGUUGCUUUGAAGGAAUGAUUUUUGUAUUCUUUGAAGCUUAUCUUUCGUGCAUCUAGGUUGGAGGUGGCCUUGCGGAAGAUGAAUAUCGAAUCGCUAUUUCCUGUACAAGUAGCAGUGUGGCAAGAAACAAUUGGGCCUGGUGCUUUUGAACGAGAUAUUUGCGUCAACUCUCCGACGGGAAGUGGCAAGACUCUAUCUUAUGCCUUGCCAAUCGUGCAAGCGCUAGCGUCUCGGAAAAUAAGAUGUCUACGUGCGUUAGUAGUUUUGCCCACGCGAGACUUAGCUUUGCAGGUUGGUUUGGGGUUAUUUGGUUCUUCCUUUGGGGGAAGAAUUUCACUAACAGUACACAUCUUUAUUCUCUUUAAAAAAAGGAUUGUGAUCUUUUCUUUCGAACUAGGCAAUUGUUUUUAUCUUUUCUCUUUGUUGGUCAUACCUUUUUUGGUCUUUUGUUAAUAGCUAACUUAAUUUCAAUGAGGCCCAAAGUUCAAAACGGAAACAUCAAGUUUGGCAAUUCCCAGAUGUUUUUGUUCAAUAGUCAGUGAUAUGUCAAUAACAAAAUCUAAUUGUAAGUUUUCCUGUUCCUAUUCAGGUUAAAGAAGUUUUUGAUGCUAUUGCGCCUGCUGUGGGUUUACGUGUGGGCUCAGCAGUGGGCCAAACAUCAAUUGCAGAUGAAAUUUCGGAACUCAUUCAAAGGCCUAACUUAGAGAUUCAUGCAACCCUCGAUCCUGAAUAUAUACAAAUGGAACCACGAACUUCGGUGGAUAUAUUAGUGGCUACUCCUGGAAGGCUGAUGGAUCAUAUUAACAUGACAAAGGGUUUUAGUCUCGAGCAUCUUCGCUAUCUGGUAAUUUGCCUUCUCGACCAAGGAUUUGGCAUAGUACAACAUGCUGCGUGCCUGCCAAAAAAAAUACAUGUGUGCCAACAUACUAUGGCAUGAAUAUCAAUUUUCUUUGGCUCCAAUAUAUUCUACUUAUUAUAUAUUUUUGUCUAAUCUUUUGCACUUGCUGAGGGAACUACUUGCUAAUUUUACAGAAAAGAGGGUUUGAACCAUGCCAUUGACAUGGGGGUCGUAGCGUGCCAAUGUCUUGUUGGCAUUGUACAGUAUGUUGUGCACAGCCUGUGCCGAUUGGCACUCAAAUCCUUGUUCUCGACCAUUAGUUCUUGCAUGUCGUGCACAACAUAGGCCGUGCGCCUGCUAGUGAUGCUGCCCAUCCCAUUUCUUCCAUUUCAUAAGAUGAAUUAUUGUUGUUUUUCAACAUCUUCUAUUUGUAAUCUCAGGUUGUUGAUGAAACAGAUCGAUUGUUAAGAGAGGCCUAUCAGUCCUGGCUGCCAACCGUCAUUCAACUUACUUGCUCGACUGAUCAAGAAAUGCUCAGCCAUGAAACUGUUGACCCCGCUUUUCUUGGUUCCUUAAUUACCGUUAGGAGAUCGUAAGUUUCUGUCUCUUCCUCUCUAUAUUGUUUAAAGUUUCACUGGAAACUGGUAUUUGGAAAAUCGGAUAAAUCCUCUAGUUGUUUUUACUUUUGCCAUGUAGAGGUGUCGAACGGGGUUUUAAAGGUAAGCGUUACCCAAGGCUAGUGAAAAUGAUUUUGUCUGCUACAUUGACUCAAGAUCCUAGCAAGAUUUCUCAACUUGACUUGCAUCAUCCUCUAUUGUUGACAAGCGGAAAUAAGCGCUACAGACUACCUGAAUUACUGGUUUCUUAUAAGCUGGUAAGCUUUCUUCACAAUUUAUACAUGAAGAUAUCCAUUUAUCUAGUAUUGUAGCAAGUCAGUGUUGUUUUAUAUGUAAAAGAUGUUCUUUUCCAAUGGCCUAUAAUAUUUCAUUGCAUUUAAGUUAUCUGACAAAAGAUGAGCCACUUACUGUUUUUUGGUAUCCCUGCAGAUUUGUAAUUCAAAACUCAAGCCAUUGUACUUAGUUGCUCUCCUUCAAGAGUUGAAAGGGGAGAAGUGCAUUGUUUUUACAUCCUCUGUCGAAUCAACUCACAGGCUGAGCACUUUAUUGAAGUUCCUUGGAGAAUUACCAUUUCAAUUUAGCGAAUAUUCACGCCUGCAGCGUCAAUCUGUUCGGAGGUGAGCAUCUAUAGUUUCCUAACUUAAUAGAGUUAGUGUUAGAUUAUCUGUUUGUGUCGCAUUUGUUAAAUUCAACUAUCUAAUUUUAUGGUAGCUUUUUGUUUUGUUAUUUUUCUGAUCAUUUUCUAAUUGUGUAUCUAACACCUUAUGCUGUUAAUUUAUUUUGCUGUUGUUAGGGUGUUUUCUGCAUAAGCUUCACUGUCUUUGUGUGUUAAUUUGUCUAGAGUUCUUGUCCAAAUGAAGUUGUGGCAAUGUAGAGUAGCUAUGAUUCUUGUUAAAUGCCGUGUCCACUAUUGGAAGGGAGAGUGAAAUACCUAACUAACAUUCUUUUUUAAAAUCAUUUACUUCUGUUUUCUUUCUUGCGCAGCAAAACAUUGAAGGCCUUUAGAGAAGGGAAGCUAGAAGUGCUUAUUGCAACAGAUGCAAUGACUCGAGGAAUGGAUGUCGAAGGGAUAAGAAAUGUCAUAAAUUAUGAUAUGCCGCCGUAUGUGAAGACAUACAUACACCGAGCAGGCCGCACUGCAAGAGCAGGACAGUCCGGUCGCUGCUUUACUCUGCUAAGAAAACAUGAAGUAAGGCUAUUUUCCUGCAAAUAAUGUACUCGUACUUGCGAUUGUUACUUUAAGUAGCUCUAUACUCUAUUCUAGUUCAAAUGAUAAAGAAACUUGUAAUUUUUUGAAAAAUACACUUUUCUGAUAGUAGCAUUCUCUAAUUGGGUGUUGCUUUUCAAUUUAUUUAAUGCUCUUUACCCUUUUAAUUAAUACUUGUCCUACACAUUAUAUGCUUUAAAUUUCUCUGCUUAAUUAAAAGCCUCAGACAUGCUCCUCGUUUCUCAGGUGAAACGUUUUGAUUCGAUGCUUAAGAAGGCGGAUGAUAAUUCCUGUACUCUUCAUUCUCUGCCUGCUGAUUCAAUAGAAAGCCUUCUUCCUAUUUAUUCUUCUGGUAGUGAUAUCGCCCUAAUUUUCUUUUAUUAUUUAACCAAAUAGUGUUUCUCCUUACUCUCUUAGCUCCGCAUUCUUAUAUAUUCUGCUCUUUUUUUUUUUUUUUUUUCUUCGCGAGUUUAACAGCACUGGAGAAGCUGAAAGAGUUUGUGGAAUCGGAAGCGAGGAGGAAAUCCAGCAUAGGUUUCAAAUCUGCAAAAGGAAACAAAAGAAAGAGAACUACCCACAAAGUGGAGUAGAUCCAAGUUCGAGGUACAAACCGUUCUUCCUGUUGUUUUCUGGUGCCCUAAUCUUUCCUUUGCGUGUUCUCUGAAAACCCUAAUGAAUGGUCCAGUGGACAGUUACAUUCUAAUCACAACAUGUUCGACAUGUUCGACCCUACGCUCGUUAUCGCUAUCACGUGAAACUCAGCAUUAAUUUUCCUGUGUUCAUUUGUAUGGUAGCCCCCUUUGUUAGUCUACACCUGAUCUUUUCUUUUAGAAGAGCAACAGUUUUGUAUUCUUAUUUUUUUAUGCUUUAAUCUGUCCUCUGCUCUGGCAGGGGGAAUUAUCAGACUGUUUUUCAAGUGAAACUCCAAGAACCAGUUUCAUAAAAGUUAAGCUUGACGCUUUGGUGUCGAUGCUGCGUGACACGAGUAAAGAAGUCGAGAAUACGUGUCCAUAAUAUCAUCGACUCAGGCUACCUGCAGGUUCUCAUUAUGAGGAACUAUUUGGCGUCUACCUGUGGGUUCUCAUUUUGAUCAACUAUUCAACAAAUUGAAAGUAUUAUGGUGAAAUUUUUGCCCAUUACCUGUUGUUCUUGGUUCAACUAGUUUAUCUCAGAGGGAUCUCUUCGGAGUUUGCGCGAUGCGCUACGCAAGUAGACACGGUUUGUCGGAGUUGGAGUAGCUGAUCGACGGCUGAGAUUGCAUCAAUCUUGAAAUCACUGGUUACUGUUUAUGAUUCGAGUGAGUUUUGGCAAUUUAAUAAAAUAUCUGGAGUGUAAUUAUGAGGAAUGUUUUCAAUGGAGAAGAUAGAACAUUGAUCUACGUAGCAAGCAAUAUAGAACUGCUUGAUGAUUAUUUUUUGUAAUUUUUUUUUUCUAGUAACAGGGAUAUUUACUCAUGCAAUACCCAGGAAUAAAAAGAUGGGAAACCAAAUCAAGUAAAAGUUUAUUUUGACAAUAAUCAAGAAAUUUUCUCUAAAAACUGGUUUAAUAUGCUGUUCCACCAAGUUAAAUGAAACAGGUACAAAUCAGAGUUACGAGCUUCACAAUUAUCUGCUCUGGCACAAUCCAAGAACAACGUGUGUAAUAAAUACUAUCAUCUCCAAAAUUAAUAUAUACAUAUGCAUACAUAUACUCUCUACAAACUUCAGCAGUUGUCCCCAACAUAUAAAAACACGAGUGCCCGCUCGGUGGUACAAACAAGUAAAAAGUUCACUCUGUUGAAAGGCAAUUCAGGAGCAAUUUGGAACCGGUUUAACUGCACUGAGCUCAUUACCAGCUCACGAUCCUCGACGAGACGGGGGAAUAAAACGACUGGCUCAAUCAACACAAGCAAAUACAAUCACAUUUGAAAUGUUUCUUACCCUUUUGAGCCAGCCGAAGAAAUGUGAGCAAGAACGCCAAACAACGGCACACUGCAAAAUCACUAGCGAGCUCACUGAUCGGUUCCUACAGCAAGAAUGCACUGGGCGAGAUGUGUCAGAUACGGCUCUGCCUGCGAGCUGUUGCUCAAAAUGGGAGCGAGACUCUGAAGCUCGGCAUUAAAUUCCUUCUCAAAUUUCCUGUAGUUUUGGGGUGUAAGUAGUCACAGACAUGUAAGAUUUGAAAAUUGGUUGUUCAUUUUUAGUUUUGACUUGUGUCAGUAAGUUUGGUUAAUGACGGACUGCCUUACAUGAUAGAGUCGGAGAUUAUGAUAUUCUGAGAUGCUAACUUUAGCUGCUCGCCUCUAAACGAAGAUCUCUUUGAUUUAGACUUUAGCGUUCCAGUAGUAGCAGCAUCAAAUGCACUAUCCGGGUCAGGGACAUAGAUAGAUGGUAUCAACAAUUGAAUGGAAGCCGAAUAUUGAAGGCAUAUGGAUUUCAGCUUCUCGAUUUUCUGCAACAAGUAGAUGCAGACAUAAGAUAAGAAAUUUAUACUGCUCUGUGAGGUUUCAGGAAACGCAUAAUGGUGUUUCAUCUAAUCUACUACUCCGAUAUGUUUCUGGUAAAAAGGAAAAAAAGAAGGGAAGCAUGAAUGGAAAUAUAAAUUAGAACGACCUUGAGAAGCUGAGGAGAAAGGAGCAAACAUUCUUUCAGACAUUUUUGGAGGAAGAAAUCAUGGAAUUGGAUGACCUGAAUAUAAAAGAUCAGCAAUAAAUGACCUCAUAAGGUGCUUAGAUUUAAUAAUGCUAUCAAUUAAUGCAUCUAGAGCAAUUAAAUAGAACCUCAUCUAUGCUUAUUGCACUUUGAAGGCGAUUACACAUCAAAUGCCAGUUUGGCUCAAGCACCUGACGACAAUAUAAUGUAAAAGCAUUAAUUCCAAUCAAGUGGAACUUAUUUUUGAUAUAAAAAAAAGAACGCUGAUUACCUCAAAAGUUAGAUAAUGUAAAAGGCUGUUUAUAAACUUAAGCAUGCUGCGACAGAGAAUGGAAGAUCGCAAUAUUGGUGUUCCCAACAUGCUGAAGGAACGAAAUCCCUGUAACAAAAUUAUUAUCAUUCAACAGGAAAGGACAUCAGAUAUAUAACUGAGAUAUUCAUAUGUUUACCCGGCAAAAUUAUCUGUUUACGGACAUAUCCCUGUGCAAUAUAUGCUUUUCCAAAACUUUGUUUGUA